CCGGCGUAUUUGAGUGGCAGCACAAAUAAAUAAAUACAAGGGGCAAAAGCUUUUCCACGAGCCCCACCCCCUCGGAACGCCAGCCCCUCACCGCCCACGUGCUCGUAAGAAACUUUCAUUUAUGGCGACGUCGAAAAGCCACUGCGACUGCGCUGCCAUGUACACAGGUGUUUCGGUUGUAUUAUUUAAGUUUAUCGUUUGCAUUCAUCGUAGAUUAUUUAAUACGCAGGUGGGUAAUUGCAGCCAAAAAAACUCAACAAAAACUGCGGUUACACUGCAAAGGAUGUUCUAUAAGUUUUUGGGAAAUCUAAACAUUUAAUUGUCAUGCAGAAAUUUUUUUCCAGGAAUUUUUUUACAUACUCGUAUGUAUUUACAUAGUCAAAAAAUAACGCUUUAGUCGAGCUCCCCGACUACCAGAUACCCGUUACUCAGCUAGA
Long non-coding RNA from Drosophila yakuba, 437 nucleotides. RefSeq lists it as uncharacterized. NCBI's taxonomy places the organism in Eukaryota, Metazoa, Arthropoda, Insecta, Diptera, Drosophilidae. The record is from RefSeq and is a predicted model, not a curated record. The transcript is spliced from 2 exons.